AAGGAGUCUAACAAAUAUGCGAGUAUUUGGGUGGUAAACCCUUAUGCGUAGUGAAAGCGAAAAGGUGGGAAUCUUUAUUGAUGCACCAUCGGCCGCGGUCAAUUAUUAUGAAUUGUGCGUGAGUAUGAGCAUAUAUGCUGGGACCCGAAAGAUGGUGAACUAUGCCUGAGUAGGGUGAAGCCAGAGGAAACUCUGGUGGAGGCUCGUAGCGGUUCUGACGUGCAAAUCGAUCGUCAAAUUUGGGUAUAGGGGCGAAAGACUAAUCGAACCAUCUAGUAGCUGGUUCCCUC
This 290-nucleotide unclassified non-coding RNA is filed under the name uncultured fungus. Its description in RNAcentral is "partial contains 5.8S rRNA, ITS2 and 28S rRNA". It matches the Rfam family "Eukaryotic large subunit ribosomal RNA", at positions 668 to 961 of the family's 3401-position model. The record is from RNAcentral. Lineage: Eukaryota; Fungi.